UCAGCACCCUGGCUGGAGGUCCCUGCACCCAUAUCCUGGCCCUGCACCCCUCUCUGGCACAGGAUGGUUCCCUGAGCAGGGCUGCAGGUGCAGGGGACCAGCUGUGACUCCACAGGGAGCUGCCAGGGGGGAAUGAGCCACUGCUGAGCCACUCUCCCAUCCCGGGGUGUUUGGGGAGAGCCCCAGGCUGAUGCAACACCAGUGCUGGGACAAAGGAGCUCCAGGCUCAGCUUUGGGGCUGCUGCACUCACACAGCAGCUCCUGCUCUUGUUCCUGCUGAUCCUGCAGUUUGGGGUCAGAAGCCAGGAGACAGAAUGGAAAAGGACAGAUCAUGGAAAACACCCCAAGACAUCUUCACAUGUGUUUGAGCUCUUGCAGGCUUGCACAGUCAACUUUUUAAUGACUACAAAUUGUGAUAGCAUUCCAGGUUAUCACUGAAUGAAAAAGCAAUCUCAGACUCUGAAGAAGGUAGGGAGGUUCUCUGUCCUCUCAAGAAAGACAAAGCAUGGCUAAAUGUUGGAAGAUGAUGAGA
Molecule: long non-coding RNA, 532 nt
Organism: Pyrgilauda ruficollis (rufous-necked snowfinch)
Lineage: Eukaryota; Metazoa; Chordata; Aves; Passeriformes; Passeridae
Exons: 3
Source: RefSeq, a predicted model, not a curated record